Molecule: non-coding RNA, 239 nt
Organism: Manis javanica (Malayan pangolin)
Lineage: Eukaryota; Metazoa; Chordata; Mammalia; Pholidota; Manidae
Source: RefSeq, a predicted model, not a curated record
AAAUUGUUUGACACUUCAGAGAGAGCACAUAAUCUUAUUGCUGAAAGUGUGGAAUUCAUCCAGUCCAAUGACUUCACUAUAGGAGUCCAAGAUGGAUGCUGGUGAUCCAGUGAUAAACCUACUUCCUGGCAAUAAUGUUUUAUCAGGAAUAUCACUCAGUACUUUCUGCUUAUAUCUCAUUUGCCACUUUCAUCUGCAGAGACCACAGGACACAGGACAACAUCCAGACCACAUCCACA